This 89-nucleotide small nuclear RNA is filed under the name Helianthus annuus (common sunflower). The record is from RNAcentral. Lineage: Eukaryota; Viridiplantae; Streptophyta; Magnoliopsida; Asterales; Asteraceae.
GUCCAUUUGGGGACAUCUGAUAAAAUUGGAACGAUACAGAGAAGAUUAGCAUGAUCCAAAAAAAAAUUUAUAAAAAAAAAGAUUCUUUU